AGGUAAAAAAAAUGAAUGAGCUGCUCGUGAGGGAUGCCCCCACUCUGACUGGGUGAGCAGUACUUUGGUUCAGGCAUCACUGACAAGGAGGCCUGGCUGAAAUCAGCCCUGCUGUGCAAAC
Molecule: long non-coding RNA, 121 nt
Organism: Aptenodytes forsteri (emperor penguin)
Lineage: Eukaryota; Metazoa; Chordata; Aves; Sphenisciformes; Spheniscidae
Exons: 3
Source: RefSeq, a predicted model, not a curated record